Molecule: non-coding RNA, 248 nt
Filed under: Vibrio marisflavi
Lineage: Bacteria; Pseudomonadati; Pseudomonadota; Gammaproteobacteria; Vibrionales; Vibrionaceae
Source: RNAcentral
AACAACACAAGGAAAAUCGUUAUCAGGAAGAUGACGUGUAGGACUCCACUAGGGAAGGGUGGAACGUUAGUCAGGAUGACCAACGGGCAAGGAAUGCAAAGGACACCGCUAGGAAGGCGAAGAUAAGGAAAGCGCUUAAGGAUAAGCCAAUAUAUCAAGGAAUAGAUGCAGGGAGCACCUAAACGUAGCUGGAUUGCUGCAAGAAAGAAAAUGCCCUUAUAGUGAAAGCUGUAAGGGCUCUUUUUUUU